RNAcentral lists this long non-coding RNA (666 nucleotides) under Scleropages formosus (Asian bonytongue). RNAcentral describes it as "lncRNA (ENSSFOG00015026801.1)". The record is from RNAcentral. Lineage: Eukaryota; Metazoa; Chordata; Actinopteri; Osteoglossiformes; Osteoglossidae.
GUUUUCCCCUGGUCGGAACGGCGGACUCAGGCGCGGAGCACAGGAAGAGUUUAAAAGGGGCGAGCCAGAAGACAUAGUCAAAAAACAGGCAGAGGGUCGCCGAUGUGCUGCCGAAAUCUUAGGAGAAUCCAAGAGACGUAAUCCAAAACAAGCAGGGAGUCGUAGAGCCAGGAAGUCGAGCCGAUUCGGGAGAGGGGUCAGGGAACGAGGACGAGGAGGGGGAAGGUUGAGGACGAGGAUCAGGAAGAGGCUGAGGAAGGGAGACGGGACAGCACAGGCAAGUUUAAAAAUAUCAUCAAUGAUAUGUUGGAAAUCUUAAAGCAAAUGCCUGUGUUUCUGGAUCUGCGGGGUGGUGAAAUAGCCAAGCACAUGGUGUCUGUGUUGGUGACCAUGGCUAAACAUCUGGAAAAGGAUGUUGCUGAAGCCCGAGAAAGGUACCACCUUUCAUUAAUUUGAUGUUAAAAACUUUAUUUCUUUACGUUUAUUCAUUUAGCUACUGCUUUUAUCUGAAUAUUCUCACAGUUUGUGAUGUUAAACAACUUGCCGCAUAGGCGUACGAGCUGUUGCAUUUAGACCCAAAAGUUCUAGGUUCAAGUCCCACCUCCAGCUGUUAUACCCUUGAGCAAAGUACUUACAUUACCCAGCAAGUUUUUUUUUUUUUUUUUU